GCCUCUAUAGCUCAGCUGGUAGAGCGGCUGAUUUGUAAUCAGCGGGUCGGCGGUUCGAGUCCGUCUGGGGGCACCA
RNAcentral lists this transfer RNA (76 nucleotides) under Falsirhodobacter halotolerans. RNAcentral describes it as "tRNA-Thr". It matches the Rfam family "tRNA". Rfam says of the family: Transfer RNA (tRNA) molecules are approximately 80 nucleotides in length. Their secondary structure includes four short double-helical elements and three loops (D, anti-codon, and T loops). The record is from RNAcentral. Lineage: Bacteria; Pseudomonadati; Pseudomonadota; Alphaproteobacteria; Rhodobacterales; Paracoccaceae. RNAcentral also lists the same sequence under 2 other names.